Molecule: long non-coding RNA, 1531 nt
Filed under: Mustela putorius furo (domestic ferret)
Lineage: Eukaryota; Metazoa; Chordata; Mammalia; Carnivora; Mustelidae
Description: lncRNA (ENSMPUG00000027021.1)
Source: RNAcentral
UUCUGGUAUCCAAAGGGCCUUUACAAUACAUGACCUGAUGUGUGUCUUACCCAGGUGCAGCUUCUGGAAUGGAAAAGAAAUGGUGUUUAUUGUUCUCUGUGUUCCGGCACAGUACACACCCUUGCUCACUGGACCCCAUGAGAUUGUGGGGUGGGCACUGUUACCCGCCCACUUCCUAGACAAGAAAACAGGCCUGGAGAAGCCCCAGGAGCUGUGGAUUGGUCGUAGUUUGUAAUCCCAGUGAGGCUGAGAGUCACCAAGCUGACCCCAGUGAGGCCGAGAGUCACCAAGAUGACAUCUUUAUUGUCCUUGACGGAGGAGAAGAGGAGAAAGCUGGGGAGGGGGAGGUGCAUUGGUAAAGGUUCCCGAAGAAACGGAACCACUAGGUUCCUGCUGAGCCUUCUGUUCUCUCCGGGCCCACAGGGGAUUGGAACAGGCCCACCACCCACUCUGGGAGGGCCAUCUGCCUGACUCCGUCCGCUGCUUCACACGUCAGUCUCAUCCAGAAGCACCCAGAGUGAGGCUCACGGAAUGCCUGGGCCCUACGAGGCCUGCCGAGUGGACAGGUACUGUGCAGGUGCCUUUUCUGCCUUGAACACAUACAGCAUUGCCGUGGGUGCGUCCACCAGCGACCGUCCCUGCCCACAGCCCUGGUGCCAGAGGCCCUGGGUUCCAUCUGGAACAGCCCUACGGCCAUGCCUGCUCCGGGAAAGAUAGCCCACCAGAAAGCCCCCUGUGCAGAGGCUACCUGAGGACUUAUAGCCAGUACAACCCAGCAUCCAGCCGUGACCAGACAACCAGAAGCUCUCCCUGUCAUAGGACUGCAACUUGGAAACGAAGACUCACUGGUCAGCUGAGUUGAUAGAAGGUCAUGGCCUCAUCUGGGGCUGAAGCACAAGGGAGCAAAGGCCAGGACUGGAGGACGAGCCAGGUGUACAGACCAAGGCAGGGUCCUCUGUGAGGCCUAGAGACCCUCACGUGAGGGCUGGUGCUCUGAGCUGCUUCCUGACACUGUCCUCCAGCUUCAGCGCUGACCUGACCUUAAAGUGCCACAUUCCUGUGAUAAUGGGAGAGAAUCCCUGACAACCAGUGAGUGGCACUGUGAGCUGACACAUAGCCCAGCAUCAAGGGGACACAAAAUAAAAUGAAGGUCAGCUAGGCCAGGUGCUGGGGCAGGGCACCAGACCCUUGGAGGCCACUCAGAGGAUCUCCUUGGCCAGCCUGGAGGACAUGGACCUGCCUGCUGCUCAUCCUCCCCAAUGUGGAGCCGUCUUCAGCAGCCUGUCCUGUCUGCACCAUUGCUUCCUCUCUCCAGGGCCGAGGACAUCACUGACCAUCUAUUUGCCAGAGUAUUAGAAGGACAAGGACCAUCUUUGUCAGGGCUGUCUCCAGUACCAGGUGAGUCCAUGUAUUAUAAUUACUAGCAACAGAAAAUUCCAUGCUCAACCUCAAAUUCCCCUCUGUCUGCUACUUUUCAUGUAGAACCUCCCCUGGUGCCUUGCAUAGAGAUGGGCACAAUGUAAGCACUCGG